ACGAAAAAUAACGAUACGGGACUCAUCCGAGGCCCCGUAAUCGGAAUGAGUACACUCUAAACCCUUUAACGAGGAUCAAUUGGAGGGCAAGUCUGGUGCCAGCAGCCGCGGUAACACCAGCUCCAAUAGCGUAUAUUAAAGUUGUUGCGGUUAAAAAGCUCGUAGUCGAAUUUGUGUCCCGCGCCGCCGGUUCAUCGCUCGCGGUGUUAACUGGCGUGUCCGCGGGACGUCCUGCCGGUGGGCUUAGCUCUCGGGCGGCCCAAUCUCAAUCCCACCGCGGUGCUCUUUACUGAGUGUCGAGGUGGGCCGGCACGUUUACUUUGAACAAAUUAGAGUGCUUAAAGCAGGCUAAAAAAUCGCCUGAAUACUGUGUGCAUGGAAUAAUGGAAUAGGACCUCGGUUCUAUUUUGUUGGUUUUCGGAACCCCGAGGUAAUGAUUAAUAGGAACGGAUGGGGGCAUUCGUAUUGCGACGUUAGAGGUGAAAUUCUUGGAUCGUCGCAAGACGGACAGAAGCGAAAGCAUUUGCCAAAAACGUUUUCAUUGAUCAAGAACGAAAGUUAGAGGUUCGAAGGCGAUCAGAUACCGCCCUAGUUCUAACCAUAAACGAUGCCAGCUAGCGAUCCGCCGACGUUCCUCCGAUGACUCGGCGGGCAGCUUCCGGGAAACCAAAGCUUUUGGGAUCCGGGGGAAGUAUGGUUGCAAAGCUGAAACUUAAAGGAAUUGACGGAAGGGCACCACCAGGAGUGGAGCCUGCGGCUUAAUUUGACUCAACACGGGAAACCUCACCAGGCCCGGACACCGGAAGGAUUGACAGAUUGAGAGC
RNAcentral lists this ribosomal RNA (824 nucleotides) under Euoniticellus intermedius. RNAcentral describes it as "SSU rRNA". It matches the Rfam family "Eukaryotic small subunit ribosomal RNA", at positions 470 to 1255 of the family's 1831-position model. Lineage: Eukaryota; Metazoa; Arthropoda; Insecta; Coleoptera; Scarabaeidae. The record is from RNAcentral.